This 1580-nucleotide ribosomal RNA is filed under the name metagenome. Its description in RNAcentral is "bacterial LSU rRNA". It matches the Rfam family "Bacterial large subunit ribosomal RNA", at positions 1313 to 2925 of the family's 2925-position model. The record is from RNAcentral.
AGAGAGAGGGAAUCCUCUCGGCCGAAUAUCCAAGGUUUCCAGGGUAAAGCUGAUCUGCCCUGGGUAAGUCGGGGCCUAAGGAGAGGCAGAAAUGCGUAUCCGAUGGACAGCAGGUUGAGAUUCCUGCACUAUCUUAAAACAGAACUGUGGGGACAUUUGUGGAGAGCACAGGCGCGGAACGGAAAGCCGCGUGCAAGCGAAGGAGGAGUCACAUAGGAAAAACCGUGUGGCAAUCCAAAGGCGUAAUGCGGACCGAGCUAAGGUAGGGAAGUGUGUGAGCCAUGAAUCAAGAAAAGCCGCUAUUGUUUUUAAGAUACCCGUACCGUAAACCGACACAGGUGGAUGAGGAGAGAAUCCUAAGGCCGGCGGAAGAAGCAUUGUUAAGGAACUCGGCAAAAUGACCCCGUAACUUCGGGAGAAGGGGUGCCAACGAGAGUUGGCCGCAGAGAAUAGGCUCAAGCAACUGUUUAGCAAAAACACAGGUCUAUGCAAAACCGUAAGGUGAGGUAUAUGGGCUGACGCCUGCCCGGUGCUGGAAGGUUAAGAGGAGAGGUUAGCGCAAGCGAAGCUUUGAAUUUAAGCCCCAGUAAACGGCGGCCGUAACUAUAACGGUCCUAAGGUAGCGAAAUUCCUUGUCGGGUAAGUUCCGACCCGCACGAAAGGCGUAAUGAUUUGAGCGCUGUCUCGACAAUGCAUCCGGUGAAAUUGAAGUACCAGUGAAGAUGCUGGUUACCCGCGCCAGGACGGAAAGACCCCAUGGAGCUUUACUCCAGUUUGGUGCUGGGGUCCGGCAGUGCAUGUACAGGAUAGGUGGGAGGCUGAGAACCUGGAACGCCAGUUUCAGGGGAGCCAUUGUUGGGAUACCACCCUUGUGCUGCUGGGCUUCUAACCAGCGGCCUUUAUCAGGCCGGGGGACAAUGCCAGACGGGGAGUUUGACUGGGGCGGUCGCCUCCGAAAGGGUAUCGGAGGCGCUCAAAGGUUCCCUCAGAAUGGUCGGAAACCAUUCGAAGAGUGCAAAGGCAGAAGGGAGCUUGACUGCGACACCGACGGGUGGAGCAGGUACGAAAGUAGGACUUAGUGAUCCGGUGGUAUUAAGUGGGAAUGCCAUCGCUCAACGGAUAAAAGCUACCCUGGGAUAACAGGCUUAUCACUCCCAAGAGUUCACAUCGACGGAGUGGUUUGGCACCUCGAUGUCGGCUCAUCGCAUCCUGGGGCUGUAGUAGGUCCCAAGGGUUGGGCUGUUCGCCCAUUAAAGCGGUACGCGAGCUGGGUUCAGAACGUCGUGAGACAGUUCGGUCCCUAUCCGGCGUGGGCGUAGGAUAUUUGAGAGGAGCUGUCCUUAGUACGAGAGGACCGGGAUGGACUGACCUCUGGUGAACCGGUUGAACCGCCAGGUUCACGGCCGGGUAGCCAAGUCGGGAAGGGAUAAACGCUGAAGGCAUCUAAGCGUGAAGCCCCCCUCAAGAUGAGAUAUCCCAUUCGAAAGAAGUAAGACCCCUUGAAGACGACGAGGUAGAUAGGGCAGAGGUGGAAGUGCCGUAAGGCAUGGAGCUGACUGUUACUAAUCGGUCGAGGGCUU